CGAACGAUGAACCGGUUUCGGCCGGGGAUUAGUGGCGAACGGGUGAGUAACACGUGGGCAAUCUGCCCUGCACUCUGGGACAAGCCCUGGAAACGGGGUCUAAUACCGGAUACGACACGGGACCGCAUGGUCUUCGUGUGGAAAGCUCCGGCGGUGCAGGAUGAGCCCGCGGCCUAUCAGCUUGUUGGUGGGGUGAUGGCCUACCAAGGCGACGACGGGUAGCCGGCCUGAGAGGGCGACCGGCCACACUGGGACUGAGACACGGCCCAGACUCCUACGGGAGGCAGCAGUGGGGAAUAUUGCACAAUGGGCGCAAGCCUGAUGCAGCGACGCCGCGUGAGGGAUGACGGCCUUCGGGUUGUAAACCUCUUUCAGCAGGGAAGAAGCGCAAGUGACGGUACCUGCAGAAGAAGCACCGGCUAACUACGUGCCAGCAGCCGCGGUAAUACGUAGGGUGCGAGCGUUGUCCGGAAUUAUUGGGCGUAAAGAGCUCGUAGGCGGCUUGUCGCGUCGGAUGUGAAAGCCCGGGGCUUAACCCCGGGUCUGCAUUCGAUACGGGCAGGCUAGAGUUCGGCAGGGGAGAUUGGAAUUCCUGGUGUAGCGGUGAAAUGCGCAGAUAUCAGGAGGAACACCGGUGGCGAA
This 642-nucleotide ribosomal RNA is filed under the name Streptomyces sp. Its description in RNAcentral is "bacterial SSU rRNA". It matches the Rfam family "Bacterial small subunit ribosomal RNA", at positions 63 to 719 of the family's 1533-position model. The record is from RNAcentral. Lineage: Bacteria; Bacillati; Actinomycetota; Actinomycetes; Kitasatosporales; Streptomycetaceae.